Molecule: ribosomal RNA, 330 nt
Filed under: uncultured bacterium
Lineage: Bacteria
Description: bacterial SSU rRNA
Rfam family: Bacterial small subunit ribosomal RNA
Source: RNAcentral
CGCGUAGGCGGUUUUUCAAGUCAGGCGUGAAAGCCCCGGGCUUAACCUGGGAAUUGCGCUUGAGACUGAGAGACUUGAGUUCGGGAGAGGUGAGUGGAAUUCCCAGUGUAGAGGUGAAAUUCGUAGAUAUUGGGAAGAACACCGGUGGCGAAGGCGGCUCACUGGACCGACACUGACGCUGAGGCGCGAAAGCGUGGGGAGCAAACAGGAUUAGAUACCCUGGUAGUCCACGCCGUAAACGAUGAGUGCUAGACGUUGGGGGGCUUGCUCUUCAGUGUCGCAGCUAACGCAUUAAGCACUCCGCCUGGGGAGUACGGCCGCAAGGUUAAA